Molecule: ribosomal RNA, 1312 nt
Filed under: metagenome
Description: bacterial LSU rRNA
Rfam family: Bacterial large subunit ribosomal RNA
Source: RNAcentral
AUGCAGGCUGUGUGCCGAGAAAAGCCGCUAUUGUUUUAUAUGUGCCCGUACCGUAAACCGACACAGGUGGAUGAGGAGAGAAUCCUAAGGCCGACGGAAGAAGCAUUGUUAAGGAACUCGGCAAAAUGACCCCGUAACUUCGGGAGAAGGGGUGCCACAGAAAUGUGGCCGCAGAGAAUAGGCUCAAGCAACUGUUUAGCAAAAACACAGGUCUAUGCGAAACCGAAAGGUGAGAUAUAUGGGCUGACGCCUGCCCGGUGCUGGAAGGUUAAGAGGAGAGGUUAGCGAAAGCGAAGCUUUGAAUUGAAGCCCCAGUAAACGGCGGCCGUAACAAUAACGGUCCUAAGGUAGCGAAAUUCCUUGUCGGGUAAGUUCCGACCCGCACGAAAGGCGUAAUGAUUUGAGCACUGUCUCGACAAUGCAUCCGGUGAAAUUGAAGUACCAGUGAAGAUGCUGGUUACCCGCGCCAGGACGGAAAGACCCCAUGGAGCUUUACUCCAGUCUGGUACUGGGAUUCGGUACUGCAUGUACAGGAUAGGUGGGAGGCUUUGAAAAGAGGACGCCAGUCUUCUUGGAGCCGCUGUUGGGAUACCACCCCUGCAGUAUUGGGUUUCUAACCAGCCGCCGUAAGCCGGCGGUGGGACAAUGCCAGGCGGGGAGUUUGACUGGGGCGGUCGCCUCCGAAAGGGUAUCGGAGGCGCUCAAAGGUUCCCUCAGAAUGGUCGGAAACCAUUUAGAGAGUGCAAAGGCAGAAGGGAGCUUGACUGUGACACCGACGGGUGGAGCAGGUACGAAAGUAGGACUUAGUGAUCCGGUGGUAGUAAGUGGGAUUGCCAUCGCUCAACGGAUAAAAGCUACCCUGGGAUAACAGGCUUAUCACUCCCAAGAGUUCACAUCGACGGAGUGGUUUGGCACCUCGAUGUCGGCUCAUCGCAUCCUGGGGCUGUAGCAGGUCCCAAGGGUUGGGCUGUUCGCCCAUUAAAGCGGUACGCGAGCUGGGUUCAGAACGUCGUGAGACAGUUCGGUCCCUAUCCGGCGCGGGCGUAGGAUAUCUGAGAGGAGCUGGCCUUAGUACGAGAGGACCGGGCUGGACGGACCACUGGUGUAUCUGUUGUCGACCAACGGCAUGGCAGAGUAGCCAAGUCCGGAAGGGAUAAACGCUGAAGGCAUCUAAGCGUGAAGCCCCCCCCAAGGUGAGAUAUCCCACCCAUAAGGAAGUAAGACCCCUGAGAGACGAUCAGGUAGAUAGGGCAGAGGUGGAAGUACAGCAAUGUAUGGAGCUGACUGUUACUAAUCGGUCGAGGGCUUGACU